CAACAAGGCCUUGUUCGAUUUGUUCUGCCAGUUCAUGUGUCAACGAGCGCAAAUUGUGAAAGAUGGCUUGGAAAAAUUCAGUUCAGAGUUCAAAGCGCCACCUUGCAACAAACAGCGCCAUGGAAACAGCUGUGGAGUGUUUGCAUUGAUGACUGCCAAAUGUUUGGUCAUGAAAAAGCAUCCCACAAUGUUGCGACAGGCCCAUGAUUCAGUUAUCGAGACUAGUCGUG
Dreissena polymorpha is the source of this 230-nucleotide long non-coding RNA. RefSeq lists it as uncharacterized. The record is from RefSeq and is a predicted model, not a curated record. Lineage: Eukaryota; Metazoa; Mollusca; Bivalvia; Myida; Dreissenidae. The transcript has 3 exons.